GAAAUAUCAGGAGUGGCAUCUUGGCAUUCCACCACCAGUACUCCCAGACAAGAACAUUGGCGGCAUUCAGAAUAAU
RNAcentral lists this small RNA (76 nucleotides) under Archaeoglobus fulgidus. The record is from RNAcentral. Lineage: Archaea; Methanobacteriati; Methanobacteriota; Archaeoglobi; Archaeoglobales; Archaeoglobaceae.